ACACUCCUACGGGAGGCAGCAGUGGGGAAUAUUGCACAAUGGGCGCAAGCCUGAUGCAGCCAUGCCGCGUGUAUGAAGAAGGCCUUCGGGUUGUAAAGUACUUUCAGCGGGGAGGAAGGCGAUAAGGUUAAUAACCUUGUUGAUUGACGUUACCCGCAGAAGAAGCACCGGCUAACUCCGUGCCAGCAGCCGCGGUAAUACGGAGGGUGCAAGCGUUAAUCGGAAUUACUGGGCGUAAAGCGCACGCAGGCGGUCUGUCAAGUCGGAUGUGAAAUCCCCGGGCUCAACCUGGGAACUGCAUUCGAAACUGGCAGGCUAGAGUCUUGUAGAGGGGGGUAGAAUUCCAGGUGUAGCGGUGAAAUGCGUAGAGAUCUGGAGGAAUACCGGUGGCGAAGGCGGCCCCCUGGACAAAGACUGACGCUCAGGUGCGAAAGCGUGGGGAGCAAACAGGAUUAGAAACCCGGGUAGUCCCAUG
Molecule: ribosomal RNA, 475 nt
Filed under: uncultured organism
Description: partial 16S ribosomal RNA
Rfam family: Bacterial small subunit ribosomal RNA
Source: RNAcentral